UUCAUUAGGAUAUCUCGACUCUAUCAUCGAUGAAAGAACGUUGUGAAAUGCGAUGUUUAAUAUAAAUUAUAGAAUUUGGUAAAUUAUUGAGACUUUUUAUGUAAGUUGCGUCUAAAGUUACGUUAAGCGAAC
Molecule: ribosomal RNA, 132 nt
Filed under: Solanum tuberosum (potato)
Lineage: Eukaryota; Viridiplantae; Streptophyta; Magnoliopsida; Solanales; Solanaceae
Description: 5.8S ribosomal RNA
Rfam family: 5.8S ribosomal RNA
About the family: 5.8S ribosomal RNA (5.8S rRNA) is a component of the large subunit of the eukaryotic ribosome. It is transcribed by RNA polymerase I as part of the 45S precursor that also contains 18S and 28S rRNA. Functionally, it is thought that 5.8S rRNA may be involved in ribosome translocation.
Source: Rfam by way of RNAcentral